GUUAUAUUGUCAGUAGCUCAGUGUUUGCCCUCUGCUUCUGUCCUCUCCAGAGGUCAGCAGUCUCUCUUGACUUUUAACAGUAUAGACUACUUUGUCUGUAUUUGAACUUUAAAUCACCUUACUUACUUUUGCUGAGUAACAUUAAAGACGGUUCUGUCUACUAUAAAUGAAAAAAAGUAUCUAACACAUUAAAAAGAUAAUUAUAUUUAAAAAGUAUUUGUAUACCACUGUGCAGUAUUUCAUCUGAUGUCAGUGGUAUUUGUGCUGUGGUCAGGGAACACUUGACUAAUUUUCUUAUAUUGAAAAGAGGAAACCUGGCAUGAUGGUGCAUGUCUAUAACUCCAGCAACUCAGGAGUCUGAGGCAGGAAGAUCACAAGUUUGAGACCAGCCUCCAUAAUUUAGUGAGACCCUGUCUCAAAAUAAAUAAAAAAGGCUGAGGAUGUAGCUCAAUGAUAAAGCACCCCUGGGUUUAAUCCCAGAACCACCAAAAAGGAAAAUAGAAUUCAAAUAAAAACUAAGUUUUUUAUAACAACAAAGAUAAUAAUAUUUAGGGGGUUUUGUUUUUAAUGCUGAGAUUGAGCCCAGGGGUAUCUUACUGCUGUGCUAUAUUCCUAGUCCUAUUGAUGUUUUUUUAUUUAGAGAAAGGGUGUCACUAAGUUGUCAAGGCUGGCCUUGAACUUGUUAUUCUUCCACCUCAUCCUCCCAAAUAAUGUUUACAUUUUGUUGGUGAUCUACACAUCAUUCUGGUAGACACUGUGUGUCCAUCCACGUUGUAUACCUAGUAGUAUUUUAAUGUAUAUUUGAUAUUUUAUUGCCAGCUAUAACAGCUUGGUUUACUUUAGGCAGCAUUGUAAUUUCUUAUUAGCAAAAUUGAGGCAUAAAGAUUGAUUUGUUCCCUUGUUACAUUGUAACAAAACUAGAUUUAAAAUUAGAGCUCCCAUAUCAUUCUCCAACCACCAGUUAUAAUACCUACCUUCCCUUCCCUAUGGAUUCAGAAGUUCAGCAAAACUUUGAAAUCAUCUAAACUGUUAGGUUCAUUCCUCCAAAGGUCAUACAUAUUUUUAAAAAAUUCUUUCCAGCUGCCCUUCCUUUAUGGAUGCAGUAUCCUGCAAUGUCUAGGUUCUGAGCAGUGCACACAGCAGAUAGUCAGAAAAUGACUUUUAGCCGGACUCUUUUCCCCACUAGACUUGAAGCCUGCAUAAGUAGAGAUCCUUCUGUCUGUCUUGCACAUGCUGAUUUUCAGUACAUAUUGGUCAAAUGAAUGAGCAAUCAAAUGACAUUCUUACUAGGUUUAUAUUAAUGUAAAUACACUUUUGACAAAGUAGUCUCUAGAAAAAGCAAAUGCAUUUAGGACACACUUAACGUCAGAUUGAUUUAUUUUAAAAUACCUUUUUAUGCUUACAAGUUUAGAGUGAAAACCUUUUCACAUCAUUCUUCAGUAUGAGUAUUGUCUAUAGUAACUGAGUAACGGUCUUGGAAUUCUCACAUUAUUUUUCUAAUCAAAUUUUAGGCAAAAGGACCCCUUGGAGAGGAAUCCUAUUAUUUGGCCCACCUGGAACAGGAAAAUCCUAUUUAGCCAAAGCUGUAGCAACAGAAGCAAACAACUCAACAUUUUUUUCAAUAUCUUCCUCUGACCUUGUUUCUAAGUGGCUAGGUGAAAGUGAAAAGUAAGUAGUAAAUCAAGUUUUUUUAGUUUUUUCUUUGCCUCUUAGUUACUAUAUCAAUCUGUAAAAUUAUAUCAUUAGUAGAUACUCAGAGAAGCAACAUACUGUAGUGGUCAGCUGGGCACGGUGGCGCACGCCUGUAAUCCCAGCCACUGGGGAGGCUGAGACAGGAGGAUUGCAAGUUCAGUGCCAGCCACAGCAAAAACGAGGCACUAAGCAACUCAGUGAGACCCCGUCUCUAAAUAAAAUACAAAAUAGGGUUGGGGAUGUGGCUUAAUGGUUGAGUACCCCUGAGUUCGAUCCCCUGUGCCCCCUCCAACAGAAAAAGAGUUAGUCCCAUAAUGCAUCAUUCCAUAAUUAAGAAUUAUCGGAAAAAGUGCAUUAGUAAAAAUUGUAAAAUGAAUUAUCUAGCUAUUGCAUUCUUGUAGCAUUGGUGUAUUGCUUUGCUUUAGUCUCAUAUUAGUUUUUUAGAUUCUGAAAAUUUUUGUUUUUAGACUAGUUAAGAACUUAUUCCAGCUUGCCAGAGAGAACAAGCCUUCUAUUAUUUUCAUUGAUGAAAUUGACUCUCUCUGUGGUUCAAGAAGUGAAAAUGAAAGUGAAGCUGCACGAAGAAUUAAGACUGAGUUCCUGGUUCAAAUGCAAGGUAGUAAUGCUGAUUUUCAAAAUAGCUUCUGUCUAUUAUAUA
Molecule: long non-coding RNA, 2350 nt
Filed under: Marmota monax (woodchuck)
Lineage: Eukaryota; Metazoa; Chordata; Mammalia; Rodentia; Sciuridae
Source: RNAcentral